Talpa occidentalis (Iberian mole) is the source of this 2590-nucleotide long non-coding RNA. RefSeq lists it as uncharacterized. Lineage: Eukaryota; Metazoa; Chordata; Mammalia; Eulipotyphla; Talpidae. The transcript has 7 exons. The record is from RefSeq and is a predicted model, not a curated record.
GCUGCGUGUCCCGUCAGGGGAGCCCACGUGUCCAGGAUUUUCGUAAAGAGGAGCCACCUGCCCCUGAUGGAGCUGCUGGGCCUCAGCGCUCCCUGGGCCGCGCCAACUCCAGAGCAACAGACUAAGCUGCGCUCUCAGAUCCCUGCUCUGGCUGCUGGCCCCUGGCGAGCCUGCGCCCGGGCUCACCUUACUGUACAGCUGAGGAGUAUUCCACGGUGUAGACGGCGGCUCCUUCACCCACUCUUCCGCCUUUGAGCACGCUGAUGCCUUGAAUUGAGAAAUGUUCAUUGCAGAAGAUGUUGUCAUUUGAGGAUGUGGCUGUGGUUUUCACCUGGGUGGAGUGGCAGGACCUAGAUGAUGCUCAGUGGACUCUCUACAGGGAUGUGAUGCUGAAGACCUACAACAGCCUGUUGUCCACGCGUUUUGUGUUAGCAAACCUGAAUUCAUCAUCAGAUUGGAGCAGGGAGCAGAGCCAUGGACUGUCAAGGAACCCUCAAACCAGAGCCUCUUAGAUGUCCAUACUAUGGAUGACCUGAUUAAGACCAACCAGGAAAACCAGGGCAGGCAUUUGUGGCAAGUUCUAAUCGCCAAUUGCAAAACAUCAAAAGAUGUUGUCAUUUGAGGAUGUGGCUGUGGUUUUCACCUGGGUGGAGUGGCAGGACCUAGAUGAUGCUCAGUGGACUCUCUACAGGGAUGUGAUGCUGAAGACCUACAACAGCCUGUUGUCCACGCGUUUUGUGUUAGCAAACCUGAAUUCAUCAUCAGAUUGGAGCAGGGAGCAGAGCCAUGGACUGUCAAGGAACCCUCAAACCAGAGCCUCUUAGAUGUCCAUACUAUGGAUGACCUGAUUAAGACCAACCAGGAAAACCAGGGCAGGCAUUUGUGGCAAGUUCUAAUCGCCAAUUGCAAAACAUCAAGUAAGGAAAUAAUUGACUUAGGAAAAACACUUAAUUUGCAUCCAAUGUAUAAUUGAAUUUGAGUAUAAAUAAUGGCAUUCAUUCAGGAAUGAUGCCUGUAGAGUUUCAUACUUGGAAGAACAUGUUCUUCCCUGGUGAGCCUGAUGAGAUGCAUGCAAUAGAGAAAAUUGAGAGGCCUAGUGUAACUAGAAAAUGCCCUGGAUAUCCCGAGUAUCCUAGUCUUCAUGGUAUGAUUCAGACUUUGCAGCAACCUUUGGAAUUUAGUGGAGAAGGGAGAGACGUCAACAAAGAAACAAUAUUUUUUUUAACCCAUAGAAGGGAUUUGAUGGGAGAGAAUGCCUGUCAAUGUAAGUGUAGGAAAGGCUGUUAUAUGUCACCUCUCAUUGCCCAAGGUAGAGCUCAGGUAGGGCAGAUAAACUAUGCAUGUAAUGGAUGGGAAACAUCCUUUUUUGAGAAACCAACACAUUUGAAUCUUCAUAAAGAUUUUGAACACUACAAAUGUAAUCAAAGUGGGGAUUAUUUUGGAACCAAAUUAAACCUUACUCAGCUUCAGGAAGUACCACGUGAGAAAGUUUUUGACUAUAAUACAUGUGGGAAAACCUUUUAUAAAUUUUCUUUCCUUACUCAACAUGAGAAAAUAAAGCAGCUGAUAAACCUUAUGAAUUAGGGAAAAUAUCCGAUAAUUCAACCCUCAAAAUAUGUCAGAGAACUUGGACUGGAGAGACACCCUUAGUGUCUAAGCAAUGUCAGAGAACUUAUUUCUGGAAGUCAGGUCUUACUGAACAUCAGCAGUCUCAAACCAUGGAGAUGACUUAUGAAUGUAAAAAUUGUAGGAAAGCUUUCUGUCAGAAGUCAGCUCUUAUUGUACAUCAAAGAACUCACACAGGAGAGAAAUCUUGUGAAUGCAGGCAGUGUAUGAAAUCUUUUCACCAGAAAUCAGUCCUCAGUAAACAUCAGAAAACACACACAGGAGAGAAACCUUACAAAUGUCAUGAGUGUAGGAAAACUUUUUAUUGGAAUUCAGCCCUCACUAUUCAUCAGAGAAUCCACACAGGAGAGAAACCUUAUGAAUGUAUAGAAUGUGGGAAAACAUUCUGCCAUAAGUCAGACCUUAAUGUACAUCUGAGAAAUCAUGCAGGAGAGAAACCCCAUGAAUGUCAAGAGUGGGAAAUCUUUCUACUGGAAGUCAGCUCCCACUGUACAUCAGAGAACACACACAGGAGAGAAACCCUAUGAAUGUCAAGAAUGUAGGAAGAUUUUCUCCUGGAAAUCAACUCUCACUGUACACCAGAUAACUCACACAGGAGAGAAGCCCUAUGAAUGCAAAGUUUGUAGAAUGUCUUUCUACUGGAAGUCUGCUCUCACUGUACACCAGAGAACUCACACAGGAGAGAAAUCUUAUGAAUGUCAAGAGUGUAGGAAAACGUUUUAUCGGAAGUCAGCCCUCACUGUACACCAGAGAACUCACACAAGAGAAAAGCCUUAUGAAUGUAAAGAAUGUAGGAAAACUUUCUGCCAUAAGUCAGACCUCAAUGUACAUCAGAGAACUCACACAGUAGAGAAAUCUUUUGAAUGAAAACAGUGUGAGAAUUUUUUUAAUCAAAAGUUGGCCCUUACUAAACAUCAUAGUACUCACAGAGAGGGGAUACCGUACGACAGUCAAGAGUAUAGGA